RNAcentral lists this ribosomal RNA (513 nucleotides) under uncultured bacterium. Its description in RNAcentral is "partial 16S ribosomal RNA". It matches the Rfam family "Bacterial small subunit ribosomal RNA", at positions 28 to 523 of the family's 1533-position model. The record is from RNAcentral.
GACGAACGCUGGCGGCAUGCCUAAUACAUGCAAGUCGAGCGAACAGAUGAAGUGCUUGCACUUCUGACGUUAGCGGCGAACGGGUGAGUAACACGUAAGGAAUCUACCUAUAAGCGGGGGAUAACAUUCGGAAACGGGUGCUAAUACCGCAUAAUAUCUUCUUCCGCAUGGAAGAAGAUUGAAAGACGGCUCUGCUGUCACUUAUAGAUGACCUUGCAGUGCAUUAGUUAGUUGGUGGGGUAAUGGCAUACCAAGACGAUGAUGCAUAGCCGACCUGAGAGGGUGAUCGGCGACAUUGGGACGGAGCCACGGCCCAAACGCCUACGGGAGGCAGCAGUAGGGAGUCUUCCGCAAUGGGCGAAAGCCUGACGGAGCAAUGCCGCGUGAGUGAAGAAGGCCUUCGGGUCGUAAAACUCUGUCAUAAGAGAAGAACAAAUUGUAGAGUAACUGCUACAGUCUUGACGGUAUCUUAUCAGAAAGCCACGGCUAACUACGUGCCAGCCGCCGCGGUAA